Molecule: long non-coding RNA, 4146 nt
Organism: Alexandromys fortis (reed vole)
Lineage: Eukaryota; Metazoa; Chordata; Mammalia; Rodentia; Cricetidae
Exons: 3
Source: RefSeq, a predicted model, not a curated record
AUGUGCAUUGGUGUUUUGCCUGCAUGUAUAUCUGUGUGAGGCUGUUGGAUCCUCUGGAACUAGGGUUACAGACAGUUGUGAAUUGCCAUGUGGACGCUGGGAAUUGAACCUCUGUCCCCUGGAAGAGCAGCCAUGGCUCUUAACCACUGAGCGAUCUCUCCAACCCCCUAGGCUCAAUUUCUAAUGCCUUUCCUCAAAAGUCUUAUUCUCAGAUGUGAAAAUAAACCAGCAACAGCUUUAAUUACAGGUCUUUCUUGUCUGGAGGUAUUGGUUGGAUACGUCUGCCAUAACAGGACAUCAGGGACUGGAUGUUGGAUGACAGAGUGACCUUAAGCAGCAGAGAUGUUUCCCUCAGAGCUGGGAAGGUGUCAGUGAGCUAGAUUCUCUCAAGAUCAGACAGGAUCGAGUGGAUUCAGGGUGUGCGUCUGUAAAUGCCUUGGUUCUUCGUGAGGCCCCUCAUGGUGUGGUCACUUUUCUGUUUCUUUCCCAUGCUGAGGAAUCACACCUAGGGCCUCCAGCUUGGUAAACAGGUGCCCUUCCACCCUCUAACUCAUGGGGAUAGCAUUGACAUUUUCUGUUAAUGUACAUCCCUGGUGUGCCUGUCGAGAUUCCCUCUUAGAAAGACUCCGUUCUGACUAGAUUAGGGCCUGUGUGAAGUAGCUUGACCUUCAUUAUCUCCUUACAAGCCUCACCUCAAAAUAUCCUCACAGUUGCAUCAUGGGAUGCAUGCUGCAGUGUAGACAGUUCGGACAGCCUGUUUUUCCAGCCCAUCACAAUACACGUCAUUUCUAUAGUGCUACGUCUAGGGAACAAUUGCCACAGUACCAGUGAGGUCAGAGGACAGACCUCCUUGGGAAGCAGGUUCUCCUUCCAGCCCUGUUGGCGUGGGUUGUGAGCCACCAGUCAUUCAGAUCACCCAACUUGGCAGCACGCGUCUUGACCCCUCUCUGUGGGUUUUGGUUUGGAUUGGUUUGGUUUGGUUUGGUCAACACUCAGGGUUAAAACUGGUCACUGAACCAGGUGUCCCAGCAGACCCACCUUUUGGUCACGCCCCAGUGACAUUACCUGACCACUACCUGUAGAGACUGUUAUGGAGAAAAGGUGGGCUCUCCUCUGACCAGGUUUUCAUACCUAGUAGCAAACAAGGCAGUGGGGUAGCCACAAUGUAUCCAUAGCCAGACUGCUCUUUUGGUUUUCUCACACUCGUGGGCGGGUUGGGGAGAGUGCUGUUGUUUCUCCGAGAAGUCCUGCUUCUGACGUAACCAACAUCGAUCAGGAAGGAGAAAGGCAGCAGGGACUGGGGAGAUGGAUGGCUCCGUGGUAAACGGCUUUCUCUGCCCUGAAGACUUGAGUUUGUAUCCCUACCACCGGCAUAAGCUGGCCCUGCUUGCCUGUAUCCCUAAGGCUAGGAGGACAGAAUAGAGGCAAGAGAGUCCCGGGGAGCUCACUGGCCAGACGGGCUGUUUGGUUGAUGAGCUCCGGGCAUAGGGAGUGACCUUGUCUCAGAAAAAUUAAGUAGAGCUGGGCAGUGGUGGCGCACGCCUUUAAACCCAGCACUCGGCAGGCAGAGGCAGGCGGAUCUCUGUGAGUUCGAGACCAGCCUGGUCUACAAGAGCUAGUUCCAGGACAGACUCCAAAACCACAGAGUAACCCUGUCUCGAAAAACCAAAAAAAAAAAAAAAAAAAAUUAAGUAGAGGCGCCAGGAAGAUGGCUCGACAGUUACAUGCCCUUGCAGAGAACCUGGGUUCCGUUCCCAGCAUUCCACAGGGUGUCUCACAACCGUUUGUUUCUAACUGUCCUUCCAGGGAAGCUAACACCUGCCCUCUUCUGAACUCUGCAGGUGCCAGUCAUGCCUGUAACGAUCACCUCAAAUUAACCUGUAAACCCCACCUGCCCAAGGACCAGGAUCAACUCGGAUGACAAAGGCCCUAAUCAAAGCGUCGCUGGAGCCCAGCUAAUAGACGGAUCAUCUCUUACCCCCCAGUGCAGCCCUUACUAAUAACCUCGGAGAAAUAAUGUUGAAACAGCCUGCUGCCUGGCCAUGACGUGCCCUGACAGAGCCUCCCUGCUGCAUCUGCAGGCUGCUUCCCCGACCCCAUGAGCUCCUCACAGCUUCAUCUCAGGCCUCGUGACGUGGCUCGUUUCUGCUUCAGAAUCAUGACACCCGUGGGAGGAAGAUGCUGUUGGCGGCCAGACAGGAACCUCCUGUGCACAGCAUCUUGCCCCCAGAACCCCAGAAGGAACUUUGAGGAUUCCAUCUGAGACGGUGAUUGAGGGAGGGGAACAAGUUUGAGACCCUUUUCACCAAAGGAGAUGGUGACGGUGACCAGACAAAGUUGCCCAAGCCGUAACUGGGCUGGGAAAGAUGCGCACGGGAAGAUAGAACACGCGGAGAUCAAGGGUCACAGGGAACCUGCCUCACUGAGCUGGUGUCCCUCCGCUCACACGUGUGCCUCAUGCUCAUACUGCACGGGACAAGAGGUCAAAUCAGCACGGUCUCCAUGAGCCUGGGGUCACUGGGAGGACUCGUCCAGCUGAGCAGCCAUCCUUCAGGAGAGCCGUGCUUGGCCAAACCUCUGUCACCAAGGAGUGUCUCCACUGGAGUGGGUGGAGCUUCUCGGGAAGAGCAAGUGCUGCUGCUUUGUCUGUUUUAUUCAAAACUGGGGAUUGGCCCCAGGGAAGGAUUUCCUGUAGUUAAUCUGGUGUCUAGGUGUAGAUGAGUUUGACAUGGAUGGUGUAGAGAAUAAACUCCUUCAGGUUAGAAGGGACAAAGACUCAGCUUCUGCAGGUAGUUGACUUUGUUGAAAAGAAACACAUGCAUGGGCAGUUGUAGGCAGAGGCUGCUCGGCUGUUUCCCAGGCCCGAAAUAAUCACACAGGAGCUGUAUUAAUUAAAACACUGUUUGGCCUGUUAGCUCGGGCUUCUUAUUAACUAACUCUUACAUCUUAGGUAAUUUUAAUAAUAGAAUUAACCCAUUUCUAUUAUUUGAUAUUUUAUCAUGAGGCUCGUAGUUUACCAGUAAUGUUCUAGGUGGGUGUCUUUCUCCUUCAGCCACUACAUGGCGUCUCUCUGACUCUGUCUUUUUUCUCCCAGCAUUCAGUUUAGUUUCCCAGCCUAGCUAUAUUCUGCCCUGCCACAGGCCAAAUCAGCUUCUUUAUUAACCAAUGAUAAUAAAACAUAUUCACAGAAUACAGAGGGGAAUCCCACAUCAGGCAACUCUACUACAAUCAGGAAAAUACAUAAUUCAAGUUACUUCUUAAGAUGAAUUUUUGUUUGGGUUGCCAGCUCACAAAAGAAUGACACCGAAACUUGUUAUUAAUUAUGAAAGCUUGGCCUAUAGCUUAGGCUUGUCCCACUAGCUCUUAUAACUUAACUUAUUUUUGUUCAUUUACAUGCUGCCACAUGACUCGUGGCUUUUACCUGUCCUCCCGCACAUCUUGCUCCCUCUGUAUCUGGCUUGUAAUCUCACCUUUCGUCUUCCCAGAGUUCUCUCUGUGUCCUGACGUCCUGCUUAUACCUCCUGCCUAGCUAUUGGCUGUUUAGCUUUUUAUUAAACCAAUCACACAUCUUCACACAGUAUAAAGGAAUAGUCCAGAAGCAAAUAUUCCUAUUGAAGAAAGAAGCAAUCAACGGCAAGCAAAUGUGAGAAAUUUUGCAACCCACGGUUGUGUGCCUUUGAACCGCCCUAUGACAAGCCGAAGCUGCAGAGUCAGGCGCCCUCUGCUGCCGGCUGCAGGAAUCUUAGCCCGUGUGAGACAGCUUUGCCUUCUCUCUCUCUGCUCUGGCUACUUCUGUUUCCACUCAGUGCUAAGCUUAGUUGCCACAAGGGAUCUGAGUGCUUGAUGUUGACAUUUUCUCCUAGUUCCGGGCUGCCAAUGAUUAAGUUCCUGUCCAGACCAUGAUCAAAGAGCCCACAGAGAGGACCUACAGAGUCUUCCAGCUUUUGAGUAGAGAGGAAGGUCAAAAGAUGCCUCCUAGCCCCAGACAAAUCUAGGCGAUGAUCAAGGGGAGAUGACAGUGCCUGGUCUUAUAGUAGUACCUGCUAUGAUGCGGUGUGAGAUUGGAGCUUGGUUCCCACAGUGGGUGAGAGACAGACACGCCAUACAGACCAAGCUUAUGUGGAAAGUUUAUUGAGAGAAAGGGAA